GUGGGGAAUCUUCCGCAAUGGACGAAAGUCUGACGGAGCAACGCCGCGUGAGUGAAGAAGGUUUUCGGAUCGUAAAGCUCUUUCGUUAGGGACGAACGUGCUCUUUGUGAAUAAUGAGGAGUAAUGACGGUACCUAAAUAAGAAGCCACGGCUAACUACGUGCCAGCAGCCGCGGUAAUACGUAGGUGGCAAGCGUUGUCCGGAAUUAUUGGGCGUAAAGCGCGCGCAGGCGGGAUAUCAAGUCUGUCUUAAAAGUGGGAGGCUCAACCUCGUGAGGGGACAGAAACUGGUAUUCUUGAGUGUCGGAGAGGAAAGUGGAAUUCCAAGUGUAGCGGUGAAAUGCGUAGAGAUUUGGAAGAACACCAGUGGCGAAGGCGACUUUCUGGACGAUGUCUGACGCUGAGGCGCGAAAGCUAGGGGAGCGAACGGGAUUAGAAACCCUAGUAGUCC
This 450-nucleotide ribosomal RNA is filed under the name uncultured bacterium. RNAcentral describes it as "partial 16S ribosomal RNA". It matches the Rfam family "Bacterial small subunit ribosomal RNA", at positions 354 to 796 of the family's 1533-position model. The record is from RNAcentral.